AACGGCCAUGCACCACCACCC
Molecule: non-coding RNA, 21 nt
Filed under: Arabidopsis thaliana (thale cress)
Lineage: Eukaryota; Viridiplantae; Streptophyta; Magnoliopsida; Brassicales; Brassicaceae
Source: RNAcentral